CCCUUAGAUGUUCUGGGCCGCACGCGCGUUACACUGAUGCAUUCAACAAGCCUAGCCUUGACCGAGAGGUCCGGGUAAUCUUUGAAACUGCAUCGUGAUGGGGCUAGAUUAUUGCAAUUAUUAAUCUUCAACGAGGAAUGCCUAGUAAGCGUGAUUCAUCAAAUCGCGUUGAUUACGUCCCUGCCCUUUGUACACACCGCCCGCCGCUCCUACCGAUUGAAUGUGUUGGUGAGGAGCUCGGAUUGGCAGCAGUUGGUGGUUCGCCACCGGCUAUUGCUGAGAAGUCCUCCAAACCGCCCCAUUUAGAGGAAGGAGAAGUCGUAACA
RNAcentral lists this ribosomal RNA (326 nucleotides) under uncultured eukaryote. RNAcentral describes it as "partial 18S ribosomal RNA". It matches the Rfam family "Eukaryotic small subunit ribosomal RNA", at positions 1470 to 1796 of the family's 1831-position model. The record is from RNAcentral.